Molecule: ribosomal RNA, 379 nt
Filed under: uncultured archaeon
Lineage: Archaea
Description: bacterial SSU rRNA
Rfam family: Archaeal small subunit ribosomal RNA
Source: RNAcentral
GCAAGACCGGUGCCAGCCGCCGCGGUAACACCGGCGGCUCGAGUGGUAACCGUUAUUAUUGGGUCUAAAGGGUCUGUAGCCGGCCGGAUAAGUCUCUUGAGAAAUCUGGCAGCUUAACUGUCAGGCUUUCAGGAGAUACUGUCUGGCUCGAGGCCGGGAGAGGUGAGAGGUACUUCGGGGGUAGGGGUGAAAUCUUGUAAUCCUUGAAGGACCACCAGUGGCGAAGGCGUCUCACCAGAACGGACCUGACGGCAAGGGACGAAAGCUAGGGGCACGAACCGGAUUAGAUACCCGGGUAGUCCUAGCCGUAAACGAUACUCGCUAGGUGUCGGCCACGGUGCGACCGUUGUCGGUGCCGUAGGGAAGCCGUGAAGCGAGC